Molecule: microRNA precursor, 65 nt
Organism: Gorilla gorilla gorilla (western lowland gorilla)
Lineage: Eukaryota; Metazoa; Chordata; Mammalia; Primates; Hominidae
Source: Ensembl
CGGCCACAUGGCCCAGGCUCUUCUCCGAGUGAUCUCGGUGGACUGGAGUGGGUGGGAGGUGGCAG